AGCGAACGUUAGCGGCGGGCCUAACACAUGCAAGUCGAGCGAGAAAGUGGCUUCGGCCAUCGGUAAAGCGGCGGACGGGUGAGUAACACGUAGGUAAUUUUCCCUUGAGCGGGGGACGAACGUUCCGAAGGGACGCUAAUACCGCAUACGUUUCCGUAGGGCGUUCGGCCUUUGGUAAGGAAAGACUAGGCCGCAAGGUCCGGCACUCGAGGAGAAGCCUGCGUAGCAUCAGCUAGUUGGUGGGGUAAGUGGCNCACCAAGGCGAAGACGUUUAGCUGGUCUGAGAGGAUGAUCAGCCACACUGGGACUGAGACACGGCCCAGACUCCUACGGGAGGCAGCAGUGGGGAAUAUUGGACAAUGGGCGCAAGCCUGAUCCAGCCACGCCGCGUGAGUGAUGAAGGCCU
RNAcentral lists this ribosomal RNA (406 nucleotides) under uncultured bacterium. Its description in RNAcentral is "bacterial SSU rRNA". It matches the Rfam family "Bacterial small subunit ribosomal RNA", at positions 29 to 417 of the family's 1533-position model. The record is from RNAcentral.